RNAcentral lists this long non-coding RNA (229 nucleotides) under Elaeis guineensis (African oil palm). Its description in RNAcentral is "long non-coding RNA (EGUI_LNC072341)". The record is from RNAcentral. Lineage: Eukaryota; Viridiplantae; Streptophyta; Magnoliopsida; Arecales; Arecaceae.
CGGAGAAGAAGAAGAAGAUAUCGAAGAAGAUGACUAGAGACAGUCCCUUGAGUACUCCUUUAAGAAUAAGGGUCUUGCGAAGACACAGCCUCUUUCCUCUAGCGCCAAUUUUGUUGGUGCAGAAUUCCGCCGAUGUCGGAUGAAGCUGGCGUCGAGGGGAUCACGACCGCCGUCAGGACCUGUAAGGAAAGUCUAAACCAGAGUUGGGGGUGCUCCGGCAAGACCCUCC